UGUAGCUGAGCUUCAGUUUCCCUCUCAUGGGGGCGGGGGACACACCUCCCAAUGAGAUCUGUUUUCACCUUGGCCCCCUUUCAGUCAGUCUGGGAUCUUAACUCUGCUCACAGCUGUCAGGCAGCCUCCAGCCCAUCCAUCCUGCUUACUUGCUCCAUGGUCAUGUGUCACCACCUUUGCUAGCACACAUAGCCUGCAGGAAAGCUGUCCAGACCAGCUGUGGUGGU
This is a non-coding RNA of Chelonoidis abingdonii (Abingdon island giant tortoise), 227 nucleotides long. Lineage: Eukaryota; Metazoa; Chordata; Testudines; Testudinidae. The record is from RefSeq and is a predicted model, not a curated record.